Molecule: long non-coding RNA, 544 nt
Organism: Pangasianodon hypophthalmus (striped catfish)
Lineage: Eukaryota; Metazoa; Chordata; Actinopteri; Siluriformes; Pangasiidae
Exons: 3
Source: RefSeq, a predicted model, not a curated record
UCCACACCUCACCAAAUGUUUCUGGGGAUGUGGCCAAAACGUGGGGAAAUUAACACGCCAUCUGCAUUUAGGCUCUAUUUUGGCUUGUUUGUUCAUGAAAAGGAUUUUUCCACACAGAGGACAUCAGAGAAGAUUACAUCUUAAUUGGAGACAUUACGUACCAUCUCAAGGACCAGAUUUUUAUGGAUAAAUUAUGAAAAACACUUACAUGAAGUUUAAAAUGCUUGUGUUUAACGGUGCUAUUGAAAAACCCCGUCUCAGAUACUUCUACUCAAGAACAAUCUGGCAACCUCAGAGGCCUGAACUACAUGCAGAUCAUUUGCAUAUCUGAAUGGGGCCAGAAAAUCAACUGCAUAAGCUGUCUCUGAAUAUGAGUAACGUUCCCUGUGUAAGUACUGACAUGACUUUUCACCAACUCUGAAUACGGCCCAUAGUGAAGUACAGAAGACACAAAGCACUGCUGGUGUAGCAUGUUACUCCUCUGCACAUUGAGACAAGACUGUAUUUAUGAAGGAGCGGUAAAAAUAAAAGCAUUGUUAUUCAA